RNAcentral lists this transfer RNA (66 nucleotides) under Heterocephalus glaber (naked mole-rat). It matches the Rfam family "tRNA". From Rfam's summary of the family: Transfer RNA (tRNA) molecules are approximately 80 nucleotides in length. Their secondary structure includes four short double-helical elements and three loops (D, anti-codon, and T loops). Further hydrogen bonds mediate the characteristic L-shaped molecular structure. tRNAs have two regions of fundamental functional importance: the anti-codon, which is responsible for specific mRNA codon recognition, and the 3' end, to which the tRNAs corresponding amino acid is attached (by aminoacyl-tRNA synthetases). tRNAs cope with the degeneracy of the genetic code in two manners: having more than one tRNA (with a specific anti-codon) for a particular amino acid; and 'wobble' base-pairing, i.e. permitting non-standard base-pairing at the 3rd anti-codon position. Lineage: Eukaryota; Metazoa; Chordata; Mammalia; Rodentia; Bathyergidae. The record is from Rfam by way of RNAcentral.
GGUAUAGCUCAGUGAUAGAGCACUUGCCUGUCAUGUGGGAGGCCCUGGGUUCCAUCCCCAGAACCG